RNAcentral lists this ribosomal RNA (697 nucleotides) under Salmonella enterica subsp. enterica serovar Anatum. Its description in RNAcentral is "partial 23S ribosomal RNA". It matches the Rfam family "Bacterial large subunit ribosomal RNA", at positions 2043 to 2739 of the family's 2925-position model. Lineage: Bacteria; Pseudomonadati; Pseudomonadota; Gammaproteobacteria; Enterobacterales; Enterobacteriaceae. The record is from RNAcentral.
UGAACUCGCUGUGAAGAUGCAGUGUACCCGCGGCAAGACGGAAAGACCCCGUGAACCUUUACUAUAGCUUGACACUGAACAUUGAGCCUUGAUGUGUAGGAUAGGUGGGAGGCUUUGAAGUGUGGACGCCAGUCUGCAUGGAGCCGACCUUGAAAUACCACCCUUUAAUGUUUGAUGUUCUAACGUGGACCCGUGAUCCGGGUUGCGGACAGUGUCUGGUGGGUAGUUUGACUGGGGCGGUCUCCUCCUAAAGAGUAACGGAGGAGCACGAAGGUUGGCUAAUCCUGGUCGGACAUCAGGAGGUUAGUGCAAUGGCAUAAGCCAGCUUGACUGCGAGCGUGACGGCGCGAGCAGGUGCGAAAGCAGGUCAUAGUGAUCCGGUGGUUCUGAAUGGAAGGGCCAUCGCUCAACGGAUAAAAGGUACUCCGGGGAUAACAGGCUGAUACCGCCCAAGAGUUCAUAUCGACGGCGGUGUUUGGCACCUCGAUGUCGGCUCAUCACAUCCUGGGGCUGAAGUAGGUCCCAAGGGUAUGGCUGUUCGCCAUUUAAAGUGGUACGCGAGCUGGGUUUAGAACGUCGUGAGACAGUUCGGUCCCUAUCUGCCGUGGGCGCUGGAGAACUGAGGGGGGCUGCUCCUAGUACGAGAGGACCGGAGUGGACGCAUCACUGGUGUUCGGGUUGUCAUGCCAAUGGCACU